GAUGAACGCUGGCGGCGUGCUUAACACAUGCCAGUCGAACGAUGAAGCCCAGCUUGCUGGGUGGAUUAGUGGCGAACGGGUGAGUAACACGUGAGUAACCUGCCCUUAACUCUGGGAUAAGCCUGGGAAACUGGGUCUAAUACCGGAUAGGAGCGUCCACCGCAUGGUGGGUGUUGGAAAGAUUUAUCGGUUUUGGAUGGACUCGCGGCCUAUCAGCUUGUUGGUGAGGUAAUGGCUCACCAAGGCGACGACGGGUAGCCGGCCUGGGAGGGUGACCGGCCACACUGGGACUGAGACACGGCCCAGACUCCUACGGGAGGCAGCAGUGGGGAAUAUUGCACAAUGGGCGCAAGCCUGAUGCAGCGACGCCGCGUGAGGGAUGACGGCCUUCGGGUUGUAAACCUCUUUCAGUAGGGAAGAAGCGAAAGUGACGGUACCUGCAGAAGAAGCACCGGCUAACUACGUG
This 466-nucleotide ribosomal RNA is filed under the name uncultured bacterium. RNAcentral describes it as "partial 16S ribosomal RNA". It matches the Rfam family "Bacterial small subunit ribosomal RNA", at positions 28 to 507 of the family's 1533-position model. The record is from RNAcentral.